AAUAAUUAACUGAACAGGGGUGUGGUAAAAUAGGCAAAACUUCAUAAUGGCAUCGGAACAAUCGACUGAACCUGUGACCAUAGACCAUGCUGUGACUGAGCAGACUGAACCUCGGACAGAAUACCACGAGCAGGGGGAAGGACGAACUUUUAAUCAUCACCAGGAACUAAAUAGUUUAGAUGUUAAUCUUGUUAAUACGAGUAUUUUGGAGCAUAGUGGUCAAUUCUUUGAUCAUUUAUCAAUAAAAGAUGACACUGCUUCACCUCCAGAGACAGCAAUAGAUACACUAGUAUCAGAUAUGAUAGUAGUUGAACACGAAGACAGCAGGGAUGAUGAUGAUGUAGCUAGGUUUUUACGUGGUGAUCCUACUCCAUUAUUUGAACUUGAUAAACGUGCAAAAGACUUAGUUCUAAAAUUGGAUGACAUGGUUAAUGAACUUCAUUCUAACAUUGAUGCGAUGUCUAUUUGUGUACAUCAAGCAAUAUCACUUCAUAGUGAAUCAGUUGAUUCGGUACAUAACACUGUAGAUGGUGCUGUAAAGCUUCAUUUACACGUUUCAAAACAGAAAAGUUCAUGCGCAAAGCAUCGAAACAGUAAGCAGUAGUACCAUAUUAAUGGUUAUUUUAGGGAUUUAUAUUUUGCGAAAUCUACAAAAAUUCCAAUUCACAGAUUUUAAUUUUGCGAAUUCCACCACAUGUGCCAUGUGGGUAUUGUAUUAAAUUGAGUUUACAGAUUUUAUUUUCGUGAAUCAGGAAGUAAUUCACAAAAUUCAAGAAAAAAUUUCAACCAUCGAAAAAACCACUUACACAGUAUUAGGUAUAGGACUUCGCUGUGUUUACUUUUCCCACUUCACUAAAAUUUCUUUUAGCUUAAUUCCAGAACCUCUUGUUUCCCUUGUAUCUUGGGGCCUAUGCAAAUCAAGGAACAGCAUACUGUAAAAAUUAGCAAAUAAAUUUAUGUGCUAGAAAAUUUGUGUUUUAAAAUGUUGCUGCGAUUUAAUUUUAAAGAAUUCAGUAAAUUAAAAUCACUUAAAAAUCUCGAGAUAGAUGGUAUUUAAUAGCUGGAGAAGCCCGCCAAUGGAGUGUUUAGUGUUGUAGUCCAUGAUGUAACUUUCAAGCCAACUAUUUUUUAAGCGAUCAAAAAAUUAAUGCAUACAUAAGUCACAGUUAUGUACUCUUUAUCAUUCCAUAGUAUUUUUUUAAUAUGGUAAGCAUGAACUAGUAUAACUUCUGUUUGCAAAGCAGAUAUAAUAAUGAUGUGGUGUGUGAUGUCAAAUAAACCACUUCGUUACUUUUACCAAAAUGAAUUAAUUUUUA
RNA transcript from Amphimedon queenslandica, 1316 nucleotides. RefSeq lists it as uncharacterized. The record is from RefSeq and is a predicted model, not a curated record. The transcript has 5 exons. Lineage: Eukaryota; Metazoa; Porifera; Demospongiae; Haplosclerida; Niphatidae.